ACCUACGGGACGCCGCAGUCGGGCCUCUUUCUCAAUUUUUUAACCCCUGAAGCAGCAACGCCGCGUGGAGGAUGAAGGUUUUCGGAUUGUAAACUCCUUUUGUUAGAGAAGAUAAUGACGGUAUCUAACGAAUAAGCACCGGCUAACUCCGUGCCAGCAGCCGCGGUAAUACGGAGGGUGCAAGCGUUACUCGGAAUCACUGGGCGUAAAGAGCGCGUAGGCGGGAUAGCAAGUCAGAUGUGAAAUCCUAUGGCUUAACCAUAGAACUGCAUUUGAAACUGUUAUUCUAGAGUAUGGG
Molecule: ribosomal RNA, 298 nt
Filed under: uncultured bacterium
Lineage: Bacteria
Description: partial 16S ribosomal RNA
Rfam family: Bacterial small subunit ribosomal RNA
Source: RNAcentral